ACCCAUGCCACGCGCAGGUGUGACGCAAAGAAGGUUUGGCCCUGCGUGUCAUAAUGAGAGCAUGUAACCAUAAAUGCCAAUUCAAUUCUGAGAAUCUGUUUGUUCUAAAUGGAACAGUGUAAAGUGAACAGGUACUUUGGGUACGACACCACAAUAGAUAUAUCAGACCAAAGGAGAACAAAUUUAGCAGGAAAAUUCUUUUGAUUGGAUAUUUUUACAUAUUGUUCAGAAACUGUGUGCUAAUAAAUGACCCGCUUUUUAGGCUUGACAGCUAAGCUGUAUAUAUAGGCAGCAGGACAUUAAUGGACAUAUAAGAAAUUUGAUUCAACAGAAUAACUGUGUGCAGUCCAUAGGUUAAUGUGAGAUGCAGCAUUUUAAUCUUCAUGUUCGCACAGGCCACCAGAGGAAUUCCUAGAACCUCCCAAUGUGGAGAAUGUACUUUUAAAAAUAGAUGUUUGGCUUUUACCCUUUUAAGAUCUUUAGAUCUUAACAAGCUGUUCCAUCACAACGUAUUUGUAUUGAUCUGGAAGUAAUUGGGCAAAAUACUGCUGGGUACCUCACAGGACUGGGUCCUACAACUUUUUAUCUUGGAGGGACUGCCUUAUGAAGCCUAGAAAAAGCCAAGAAUCCCCCCUCCCACACCCAAAACAUACAGGGCCGGUGCCUGGAAUACGAUGUGAAUUCUAGCCAUUGAGGUACCACAGCAUAGGAAGCAUGGUCAGGAUGCUACAUUGUCCACCAGCGACCAUUUCAGAACCUUGGGGCCAUUAUCACCUGGUGUUAAAUUAGAACAGCCCUCCAGCUUUUCAGACUCAUCCCAUGUGAAAUGGCUCUGCACCAGAAUUGGGGAAAUGAAAAUUUAAAAAUGUACAGGCCAAAGCUGGGACAGUAUUUGUUGUUCUUUCUUUCUCAAUGUCUGGCCCGUCCCUAUUUUCCCACUGAGGCCAGUCAAUCUUCCGAUAGGCUUUAUAGGCUGCCGUUAAUGAUCUGGAAGUAAACAUAAAAUCACUGCUGAUAAAAUUUUCGGAUGAUACAAAGAAAGUAUUUGCAACUAAACAAGCCACCCGGCUGGAGGAUUAGCUGUGUGCUGGAAGCCAAUGUUUAAUCACCGCGACAAACUCCCAAGGAUUCUCCAUUUCUUGAUGUCUUCAGAGCAAGACUGGAUGCCUUUCUGGAAGAUAUGAUUCAGACAAACACCAGUUAUUGGGCUCAAGACAGGGGUACCUGGGUGGACCUUAGGGACCCGUGAUAUACAGGAGGUCAGACGAGUUGAUCUAAUGGUCCCUUCUGGCCUUAAACUCUGUGAAUCUGUGAACAUUUCUGACCCCACCCUCAAAAGCAAAGCUUGCUCACAAAUCUGAAUUACCUCUAUUGAGAGCAAGCCCCACAAGCAUUAAUAAACAACUACUCUAGAUCAACACACCUUCAAAUGCGUGACCCCAUUAAUAAGAGCAAUGCAAACAGAAUAUGUCCCCAGGCAAUUCCAGAACAAAAGGUUCAACGAUCAAUGUCUGGGGUUAAACGAUACCUUGAGGCAUUGGUGUUCGUGUGGCUAUUUACAAAAUGCCUUUACAGCUUCAUAACUCACUCCAACACAGAAAGAGCGCUGCUAAUUAUUCCAUUAUAGACUCACUCUGUAGUGAUAUAAAUAGCUAUGUUAGUGUUAGCAACCUAAUUCCACAGUACCCAAUAGAGAACCGUCAGUCAUUUACCUUGGCUAUCCAUGGACUGGGUAUGUUAACAUAAGUUAUUUUGAAAGAGAAGAGGGUUGUUUUAAAGACUAGAGCAUCAUAUUUUUCCUCCUAUGUCUAGAGCUGUUUCUGUUUGCUUGAAUCAGGUCAAAGUGAAGUGAAGAGGAAAAAUCUGUUAAUUUCAUGCAGAGAUAGACGAGAUAACAAACAAAAAUAUCGGUGUAGUUCAGCAGAGCCAAGAGUUUAGAGUUUGCCGUGGGCACUCCUUCUCCAAAUUUAGCUCUUAACCUGAAUUGCAAGGAACUUCCAGCACAAUCUCGGGCAGAAAAUAUGAGAACUAGGUUUAUUAAGUAAUUUGAGGUUAAAUUUGUUCAUGUGCAUUAAAGCUGGGGGAAUUUAUGCUUCUCUCUCUCUCUCUCCCUCUCUUCAGUAACACACACAUUAAGAAAAAUUACAUGAAAGGCAAAAAUUAACAAACAUAAAAGUAGAGUCUAUUAUUAUUUAUUUAUUAUCAUUAAUAUGUAUUAUUAUUAUUUUAUUAUUAUAAUCAUUACUAUUAGGCCCUUUGAGGAAACAUUAAAAAGACUGGAGCUUGUCCACAUGAAGAGUGCCGGACAUAAUACCUUUGUGUAGGGGCUAAGUGACCAGAAAGGCAAGUGGGGUAAAAUUAAGCAAAGGAAGAUUUAGGCCAAAUAUUAAGGAAAACUUCCAGACAGUGAGCUUUACAGUGUUAAGUUCUGGAGUCUCCCAAAUGAGAUGGUAACUGAUUCAUUUCUGGGGAUAUUUAAAAGAUGACUGGACAAAAUGGACUAUAGAGGACAAUUCUGGAUGACACCAUGGAAGGGAGAUAGAAAAGACAUAUUCAAUCAACCAGGCUAUCUCUAACUUCUAUGAACACCUUAUUAUUUCUAUAUAUUGUCUUUCAUCCCAAAACACAUUACCAGCUCUCUCUCUCUCUCUAACAAGCUGCAUGUAGUUAUGGGUGAGGUGGUUUCUUAUUAUGCCAAAUUUGGCGCCAACAAAGAAAUACAGGUAUCUCUUGGUUGAUGACAACAGAUGUUCUAACAGCGCAUAGCACUACACACAUCACAACAUUUUAGGCUAGAUAGUGGAAAGAAAACUGUGUCUUGAUGGUUGCCAAACUGUGGCCCAUCGGCUUCUGUUGAUAUACAGUGCACUCGCUGGUGAUCUGCAGAAAGUUGGCUGGUCACAUGAUACUCUCGCCCCUCCUCUUUGUUUCCAGCUGGUUAUCAUAGAAUCAUAGAAUAUCAGGGUGGGAAGGGACCUCAGGAGGUCAUCUAGUCCCACCCCCUGCUCAAAGCAGGACCAAUCCCCAAUUUUUGCCCCAUCCCUAAAUGGCCCCCUCAAGGAUUGAACUCACAAGCCUGGGUUUAGCAGGCCAAUGCUCAAACCGUUAAUUGUAUUGAAUGCAAUUUUAUAGAUUAUAUGCUUUCCUAAUGUCCUUUUUUCGUUUGUGCAACUGCAUUGGUUGCCACAGGGAUGUUCUUUGAUAGACAAUGGGAAGGGAGAUGGUCCACUUCAUCAUGAAUGGGAAACGACAUCUCCAUAAGACAAUCUCUCUUUUAAGAUGUGGUCCACAACAUGGUGAAUGUUGAGAACCCCUAACCAAUGGAACCUAGAUGAGAGGCAUUUAGAGUCUUUUUGCUGUUGUUUCUGAAGCGCGAAUCAGACCCUACGCACAUACCACCACGAAGGAUUUAUCAUAAGAAGCUGGGACGGAACUGGCAAGGAAAUUAUAGCUCCUGGAGAAAAAAAAUGAACGUGCCCACCUCACCAAAAGGCCAUGUGACCUUGUUGAUAGAGCCCUGGGACUUGGAAGAUCUGGAUUCUCUUCCCAGCUCAACCCCAGUGACCUUGUGCCUCAGUUUUCCCCACCUAUAAAAUGGAGAGAAUGCAGCCAAUCUCCUUUGUGAAGUGCCAUAAGACCUUCUGAUGAAAAGCAAGGGACUACUAUUGUUCUAAGCAUCAUCACCCUGUCUAUAUUCCAUAGUAACAUUUGCCAGUCAGGUACACUUUCUUUCUGGCCCACAACGUGCUGAGCGCUUCCUGCAAAAUACUCGGCACCCUGAAACCCCGCUGGAGUCAAUGGGAGUUGAGGCCCCCUAGUGGCUUGGAAGAUCAGACCUUUUGAGCGCCGUUCAGACAGUGACUAUGGUCUAAUUCUCGGCCAGCACCUAUAUACUGUGGAGAUUGGAGCCGUACACGCAUCUGAGAGAGACUGAGAAAACAGACGCUAACCCAUGGCAUCAGCUGGACGUGUGGCAUCAGAUCAGCAAUUUCUCUAUGUGCCAGAAUGCAUCUAGCAGUAGCUGGAUUGUUUAACCCCAGAAGGCAUUUGGAGAUGCAAUCUAUCUGAAAGACCCUGCUCCUCAGAAUAAAGGUAGCUGAAGUGAUAUCUUCUCCUGGAACAAAGAACUUGUGCGUAUUCAUACAAUCCCCUGCAAUUCACACGAAGAUAAACUCAGAGCUUUCAUUGUUAGGGUGUCUGCCCCCCCCAUCUUUGCAAACCCUGUGCAAGUUAAAAUUUGGGUUAACCCCCACUCCAAAACCCCAUUUGACCUUCCCUUGAUUUAGUACAGAACAAGAAGUCUCUUCACUUGAGCAGUGGUGCUAGGACUUUUCCUGCCUGUGGUUCUGAAAAGGAAACUCUUUGCGUGCAUUAUACAGUAGAGUAAACAAAAGGAAGAAAAGCUGCAGAUCUGGAACAAAAGGCCCCAAGGCUAAGACAAAACAAAAGGAAAGGAAUAAAUUUAAAAUCCUAACACUUUAUUGGAACUGCAGAAAUGACUGCUAAUGUUUCGACUGAAAGUCAUUUUCCGAGCAAACUGUAGGGACCGAUCCCACGUUUCUUGAGAAUUGAGGGUUCCCAGAAUCCCACUGGAGAUGCUCAGCACCACACAGAAUUGGCCCGUUACAAUUUAUGCAACGCCUUGUUUGGAAUAAUUCCAGCUGGUGACCCUGCUCCCCAACACCCCCACAAACACACCCCCAGCUUCCUGCUCUCCCUAGAACCCAAUCUCCUGACUCCUCCUCUUCUGCACUCCACCAAUGAAACGUCCUGUCUGCUUGUACAUGAACAUUGGCUUACCUCAAAAACAGCUUGUCCUAGAAACUUCACGUGAAGAUCAUGAUGAGAUGGAACACUUCCAUUGACUUCAGUAGCCUUUGGAUGAAGUCUCAAGUGCCCAGAACUAAUUUUUAAUAUUUAGGAAGUUAUUCUCUGUUGAAUUAGGAACAUCAGAAUGAUCCAUUACAGAUUCCAGGGGAGUUAAAAAAAACCAUCAAAUGACUGUUGGAAGCCUAAAUGUUCUUUUAAAGUACAUUUCUAGCCCCAUUUCCUUAUGGAAAUAGCCUUAAAAGGGUAACUCGAUUGAUAAGGCGGUUUUUCACAGUGACUUUUCUACAAUAAAUAGGUAAAAUCACAGCUUGCCUCCAACCUCACCAGCUGUGCUUUUGACUGAUACCUCCCUGGCGACCAGACAACAACUCCUAAGUCAAUUAUGCUCCUGGCAUAACUGUGCAUGCCUUAACUGGGAAACCGCUGACCGCUGUAAAGUUUUGAUUUUUUUUUACAUAUUAACCUUCACUCUGGAUUUAUUGUGGAUCUGAUGGUUGGCUUUAAAAUAUCCGUGUUCUUUUAAUAGUAUUUCAUUUUAACCAUGAAAAGAUCCGAUAUUCACCAUCAACCUUAACAAAGUUCUGUGUUUGGGUAAAAUAUAUUUAUAUAGCUGUCAAGCUUGUCUCUGCUUAGACUUCCUGAAGCAGACUCCAUCCUUCUUGAUGGCCUGGCAAGCACUUAGAACAAACUGAUCAUUACCGUAUAUAAAUAAUAACAAUACACUGAAAUUCAUUGGGUUACAUUAGUGAUAGGAAUAAUGAGGUGACAUGAGGAGGUUGGAGGUCAGUGAAUUAAUGGCACAGCUCUUUAUUAUUUAAUUUGUUUCAAUUUAAUCUACAGUUCUACUACUGAUAGUUAUUAAGUUAUGCACCCACCCCUAAAUCUCCAACUGCUAGAAGCAUCUGGCACUGACCACAGGCAGAGACACAAUACUGGGCUAGAUGGACUAUUGGUCUGACCCAGUGUGGAUGUUCUGUUCUUGACUUUAAAUUCUUCAAGAGAGUCCAGGGCAUUAGCCUUGGAGUUAGGAGUCCAGGCUUCACAUCCCUGAUUCACCACAAUUCUUUCUUGUUUCGCCUUGGGCAGGAGGUAAUAGUGCUUCCUGACCUUACAGAGGUGUUAUGAGAAUAAUUACAUUGAAGGUGAUGAGGUGCUCAGAUACUAUGGUGAUGAAGUACCCCUGAUCUCAUCAGUAGCCUCACUGAAUUUGAGACCUGCUUCUAUGGCCGUUGUAGUCCAGAUAAGUGUUGCCAUUCACUUCAAAGUGAGCAGGAUCAAGGCCUUUAGCCCUGAUUCAGGAAGAUGCAUGCCUAUCUUUACGCAUAUCAAGAGUCCCAGUGAAGUCAAUGGUGCUACUAACGUGAUUUAAGUUAAGCAGGAACUGAAGCACUUUGCUGGAUCAGAGCCUGAGUUGGGAAGAAUCGUUUUCCACCACUGAAUGGGCUGGAGCUCCAUCUCCAAAUACCAUAGAUCUCCCAGGAUUCACAGAAGCUAGGAUAUCCUGAAUUCAAGUCCAGUGUCUUACCCACAAACCCAUUCUUCUUCUCCCACAUCUUCACCGUACUGUGUGUAAUAGAUUUUUCUCUUCUGUUCCUCACUCCAUCAUUCUCAACCAUGUCAGGAGCAUCUUGCUGAGUGUAUGUUUGCCAGUUUUCAACACCAAAAAUACACCUUGUUUUAUUUCACAAGCCCAUUGCAACCUCUUCCAUCUUCACAGAGGCCUUUCUCAUUUUGUCCACUGAGCUAGAGAAUUCCCUUUGUGUUUCAUAAGGAGAGCCACAGAUGAAAAGCGCAAUAAUUAGUGCAAAGACUUCUUCAUUAUUACUAAUAUAAAUUCAGGGCAGAAUUACAGAAGCAUUUAACCACACUGCAGUGGGAAUCUGGCUGAUAUGUACGCAUUAUUUACUACAUUAUUUUUUUUACCUCUGGUUUCUUUUUCUGUUGGUACUUGGUUUUGUGUGUGUUUGUUGGUUUUAAUAUAUAGGUCUUUAACCCCUUGAUGUAGCUGGGUUGGAUCUUAUAUUAUUUAUGCAUCCUAAUGGCUAGGAAUGAAAUGUGCAACCUCUGCUGAUGUUAUUAUUAAUCCUGUAGUCACAGAAUAAUAGAUGACAGAGAUGGAAAAGACCUCUGAAGCUAUGUAAACUGUCCCCAUCCCUCCCCAGGCACUCUAGCAUUCUUCCCUAUGGCAUAUCUCUAGCACUUUGCCUAGCCACGUUUUAAAUGUCUCAAGUAAUGAGGUUUUUCAUGGGGCUACUAAUCAUCUUGCCUCCGAUUAUUGCUCUGGCUGAUGGAGUUUGCAUCUCUCUCCCUCUCCUGAUUCAUCUCUCUCUCUCUUUAUUACCUACAGGCCCAACCCACCCCUAGCCCUCUGUCUUGUACCAAGCUUGAGUGGCCAGACUUGGUGCAGGAGUUUUCUACAGGAGUCGGGGAGUCCUGAUCUCCUGGCCAUUCCUUUCAUUCUGGUCUGCAGGGAUUCAUACCCAACAGAGCAGCUUUCUCUCCUCCCAUUGCCCAGCCUUGCAGCUUGAGUGGGGACCUGCACAGUCACUUACGUACACGUGCAGUAAAUCCGCACUCAUUCCUCCUUUACAGCUGCAGAAAGAUCCCCACUGUGUUUCUCCUCGGGUUUUCUGGUUCUUGUUCCACUAUUUCCUGCCCCCUCCCACUCUAAUUCUCUAUUAUUCUCUAUAGCACCCUCAAUGUGGCUAUUUUCCACCUUGUGUUUCUGUUACUCCCUUUGCAUUUUCAUUCUGAUUUCCCUUCCUUUUUAGGUUCCUUUUCUCACUUUGAUUUUUUCUCCUCUUUGUACUUACAUUGCUCAUCAGCCUUCACCACGACAAGGCAGGACAAUUCCUCUUUGACAGGGAAGGAAGGAUGGGCUGUGGUUCAGA
Non-coding RNA from Caretta caretta (loggerhead turtle), 7721 nucleotides. Lineage: Eukaryota; Metazoa; Chordata; Testudines; Cheloniidae. The record is from RefSeq and is a predicted model, not a curated record.